GAUGAACGCUGGCGGCGUGCCUAAUACAUGCAAGUCGAGCGAACGGACGAGAAGCUUGCUUCUCUGAUGUUAGCGGCGGACGGGUGAGUAACACGUGGAUAACCUACCUAUAAGACUGGGAUAACUUCGGGAAACCGGAGCUAAUACCGGAUAAUAUUUUGAACCGCAUGGUUCAAAAGUGAAAGACGGUCUUGCUGUCACUUAUAGAUGGAUCCGCGCUGCAUUAGCUAGUUGGUAAGGUAACGGCUUACCAAGGCAACGAUGCAUAGCCGACCUGAGAGAGUGAUCGGCCACACUGGAACUGAGACACGGUCCAGACUCCUACGGGAGGCAGCAGUAGGGAAUCUUACGCAAUGGGCGAAAGCCUGACGGAACAACGCCGCGUGAGUGAUGGAGGUCUUCGGAUCGUAAAACUCUGUUAUUAGGGAAGAACAUAUGUGUAAGUAACUGUGCACAUCUUGACGGUACCUAAUCAGAAAGCCACGGCUAACUACGUG
RNAcentral lists this ribosomal RNA (497 nucleotides) under uncultured bacterium. Its description in RNAcentral is "partial 16S ribosomal RNA". It matches the Rfam family "Bacterial small subunit ribosomal RNA", at positions 28 to 507 of the family's 1533-position model. The record is from RNAcentral.